UAUAUAUAUAUAUAUAUAUAUAGGGAAGAGAUCAUGUGAAAAUACAUCCUUAUGUGAGUAUACUAGUAUAUAUGAGAAUGAAUCUAAUCCGUAGGAUUAGAUUCAAUCUAAUGGCUAGGAUUAAUUUGAGCAAACCCAUCCACCUUCCCCAUUAAGCCACGUCUCUAUCAAUAAACCCCACCACUUUCUCUCUCUAAAACCUUUCCUCUUCUUUCUCUCUCCCGUUCAAGACUCCUGUUCUCCCUCCUCUCGCAGAAACCUCAGCGAUUUUCUCUCUCCUCUCGCGAAAACCACCAUCGCAGCUCCGAUUUUCUCUCUCCGUUCAAGACUCUCUGUUCGCCGCCGGUGUAUUGAAGAUUUAAGAUGACUGGAGUACAAAAACAAUACGAACGACGAAGCAAACACAAACAUGACAAACAAGCAACAAAUCCAGACAAUACUGAAGAAGGAAAUAAGAAUGAACGCGCCAAAGAAACGGAGCCAAUUGUCCCGUCAUCACUUUUGAACGACAUCAUGA
Long non-coding RNA from Spinacia oleracea (spinach), 517 nucleotides. RefSeq lists it as uncharacterized. Lineage: Eukaryota; Viridiplantae; Streptophyta; Magnoliopsida; Caryophyllales; Amaranthaceae. The record is from RefSeq and is a predicted model, not a curated record. The transcript has 4 exons.